CCUGGGGCAGCAGUGGGGGAUAUUGCACAAUGGGGGAAACCCUGAUGCAGCGACGCCGCGUGAGCGAUGAAGUAUUUCGGUAUGUAAAGCUCUAUCAGCAGGGAAGAAAAUGACGGUACCUGACUAAGAAGCCCCGGCUAACUACGUGCCAGCAGCCGCGGUAAUACGUAGGGGGCAAGCGUUAUCCGGAUUUACUGGGUGUAAAGGGAGCGUAGACGGCAGUGCAAGUCUGAAGUGAAAGGCAAGGGCUCAACCCUUGGACUGCUUUGGAAACUGUGCUGCUGGAGUGUCGGAGAGGCAAGUGG
This 305-nucleotide ribosomal RNA is filed under the name uncultured bacterium. RNAcentral's name for it is "bacterial SSU rRNA". It matches the Rfam family "Bacterial small subunit ribosomal RNA", at positions 342 to 664 of the family's 1533-position model. The record is from RNAcentral.